UAGUCCACGCCGUAAACGAUGUCUGCUAGCCGUUGGCGACUUUAUGUUGCUAGUGGCGAAGCUAACGCGAUAAGCAGACCGCCUGGGGAGUACGGCCGCAAGGUUAAAACUCAAAUGAAUUGACGGGGGCCCGCACAAGCGGUGGAGCAUGUGGUUUAAUUCGAUACAACGCGAAGAACCUUACCAGGCCUUGACAUCCCGAGAAGUCGCUAGAGAUAGCUUCGUGCCUUCGGGCACUCGGUGACAGGUGCUGCAUGGCUGUCGUCAGCUCGCGUUGUGAAAUGUUGGGUUAAGUCCCGCAACGAGCGCAACCCUUAUCCUUGUUUGCCAGCACGUAAUGGUGGGAACUCCAGGGAGACUGCCGGUGAUAAACCGGAGGAAGGUGGGGACGACGUCAAGUCAUCAUGGCCCUUACGAGUAGGGCUACACACGUGCUGCAAUGGCGCAUACAGAGGGCGGCCAACCAGCGAUGGUGAGCGAAUCCCAAAAAGUGCGUCGUAGUCC
This 504-nucleotide ribosomal RNA is filed under the name uncultured bacterium. RNAcentral's name for it is "bacterial SSU rRNA". It matches the Rfam family "Bacterial small subunit ribosomal RNA", at positions 791 to 1294 of the family's 1533-position model. The record is from RNAcentral.